RNAcentral lists this long non-coding RNA (2423 nucleotides) under Dermacentor andersoni. Its description in RNAcentral is "uncharacterized LOC126536713". The record is from RNAcentral. Lineage: Eukaryota; Metazoa; Arthropoda; Arachnida; Ixodida; Ixodidae.
AUGAAAUGCCGGCAUAUAUAUAUUUUCAACAUUUGACAUAACCCUGUAUGUUUUGCAGGGACAACCCAGGACGUGCAUUUCUCAGCACCCAGUCAACUGCCAAAAGUGACUCAAACACAGGCCACCAGUGGAACUCGGCUGUACCACUGCAGUGCUGUGGAAAUUGCCUUCACCAGCGGCUUUGCAACAGCUGUUUCGCAGCAUGUCGGAGACAAUGCCUACGAAAUUAUUGGCCCUGAUCAUGAGAGCCCUCAAGGGGCAAACAACAUCUCUGUUGCAGAAGUGAGCCCGAUACCACUUGGAAGUUACCAUGACAGAUGACACGGCAGCAAUAGAUACAGAGACUGCCAUGUCUACUGCAGCUGCAACAGUGUACGAGGCAAGCAGCAGCGCGUCAGCAUCAGCAGCAGUGUCAGAAGGAACCACACCAGGCCUGGUAGAGCAACAUGUGUGCUAUCACUGACUUUUUUUGUAGUGGAUACAACUCAUUUGCUCAACAUACAAAAGCUUUUCACCACGACUGUGAGCCAGUGUUAUUGUGCAGCAAGUGCAAGACUAAGUUAGGUGUUAUAACACAGUACAAGCAUCACUUUAAUAUAUGCAAAUGCAAACAGAUUACAGUUGUUGCCUCCCCAGCCAGCCCACAUAGUGACAACAACGUGGAACACAUGGUGGGACACACCUCUCUCCUAUUACAAGAUAGUAGAGACUGUCAGUGUUGUUGCUAGAUUGACUGGUCUUUGUAGGCAACUAGAAGGACAACACAGGUGUCAUAAGAUUGUUGUUGAUGUUGUUGUUGAAGAGGUAAAAAAGAAGUUUGAUGCAGCUGAAGUGCCAACUGAUAUUGAGCAAAUCAAAGGCAACCACCUGAGAAAGCAACACUCGAAAUUUGGGUAUCUAUGUGCCGCCAACUCUGGUAAGAAUGGCAUAGGACAGAAGUGUGACGAAAAUCACACAGACACUGCUGUUGCAUCACUGGCCACAGUGAGCAGCGACUUGUAGGGCAAGAGAGUCAACUGAAACUAACAUUAUGAUAUAGUGUCAUGCUCCCAUGUGACCACUUUUCAAGUUAUUUUGCAAGAUACAGCUCAACCUCCAGAAACGAGACUGCAACUUGUCUGUAAAAAAGCUUUCACAAAAAAUUAUUCAUAACACUAUUAACAUAGCAGUAUCUUUUUUUUUGUGUCGGUUCGAGGUUCCCGGCUGUCCAUUAAUGCAAAAAUUGAGGAAAUAAAGAACAUGUGUCGUACUUACACCUUUUUAACAAGUACGAGGGGGACAGAACUUUUCUAGUCAUGCAUCUUCAUCAUACUAUCAAGUUUUUAAAUGCCUUUUAUAAUUAUUAUUACCAGUUAUAUCUGAGUGCAUUGUAUGCAUGUAGCAGGUGUAAAAUCAGGUCAGUUGGAUCAGAUGCCUUAUCUGCAAGCGAGCCCUAUAUUCAAGAAAUUUGAAUUAACAUAGUUACGUUAGAGACGCAGUCUUUCAGCACUUUAUAGCCUGUGGUUUAAGCAUUGCUCAAUACUUUUGUGGGUGGCAAUUUCAACCGGCACAGCACUGCGCUUUGCCACAGUCACAUUUGUCUUCAAAGCGGUGUUUACCAUUUGUGUUGAUCUCUUUGUGUAUGCAUAGAGCAAGUUCUUAAUUUAUAUUUUUCUGCAUUCUUGUGCUUGCACUAAGCUUGUAUAAGGCAGUUACAAAAUGUGCGUCACUAUAACGAACUGUUCUGUUGAGCUUACACUUGCAAAUAAUCGUGUUCAGAUGGCCGCACUUCUAUGCGGGUGCACCGCUAGCUUUGUGUAUGUUCUCAUGUUUGUAUAAAGCUUAUAUAAGCUAGUUAGAAAAUGUACGUCACUAAGCGCUGUGAUAUUUUUUAAAGAACUGCUUUGUUGGUUUUACACCUGUGAGUAAUAGUACUCGGGUGGCACUAGUCAUGUGUAGGUACACAGGGACCAUUUGUAUACAUUAUGCUCAUGUAAAGCAGUUACAAAGUGUAUGUCACUAAUUACUGUGAUAUUUGUUGAAUUGCUGUGAUGGUUUUACACAUGUGAAUAAUAGUGGUCAGGACACAGUACUUGCGGUGUAUAGUUGAAUUUAUACACUGCCAAGACAUGGGCUGUAUACGUACCAAAAGAAAUGUAUGUCAUUAUAUUGUUGUGAUUAUUACUGUUUGGAUUUUAUUAAACUGUAAUAAAAUUGUUUCUUGUAUCUAUUGAGGUAUGGCAAUUUGUCAUGCAACCAAACUGAGGACCUGAACUUGUGCAUACAAAUAAACAGCUAAUUUAAGAGUAUACUGCUCAUAUUCUGCUAAACCAGUUUAACAAAUCUUGUACUACAAUGCUGGAAAAAUGACAGAGCUGACUCGGAUGUACAGAAAAAGUUCUGCACUGGCUGAAGGACUGCCCCACACUGGAGUUCGUAAUGUU